UGUGGUUUAAUCGAAGCAACGCGAAGAACCUUACCAGGUCUUGACAUCCCGAUGCUAUUUCUAGAGAUAGAAAGUUACUUCGGUACAUCGGUGACAGGUGGUGCAUGGUUGUCGCCAGCUCGUGUCGUGAGAUGUUGGGUUAAGUCCCGCAACGAGCGCAACCCCUAUUGUUAGUUGCCAUCAUUCAGUUGGGCACUCUAGCGAGACUGCCGGUAAUAAACCGGAGGAAGUGGGGAUGACGUCAAAUCAUCAUGCCCCUUAUGACCUGGGCUACACACGUGCUACAAUGGUUGGUACAACGAGUUGCGAGUCGGUGACGGCGAGCUAAUCUCUUAAAGCCAAUCUCAGUUCGGAUUGUAGGCUGCAACUCGCCUACAUGAAGUCGGAAUCGCUAGUAAUCGCGGAUCAGCACGCCGCGGUGAAUACGUUCCCGGGCCUU
RNAcentral lists this ribosomal RNA (439 nucleotides) under uncultured Streptococcus sp. RNAcentral describes it as "bacterial SSU rRNA". It matches the Rfam family "Bacterial small subunit ribosomal RNA", at positions 940 to 1382 of the family's 1533-position model. The record is from RNAcentral. Lineage: Bacteria; Bacillati; Bacillota; Bacilli; Lactobacillales; Streptococcaceae.